Molecule: ribosomal RNA, 127 nt
Filed under: Penicillium arizonense
Lineage: Eukaryota; Fungi; Ascomycota; Eurotiomycetes; Eurotiales; Aspergillaceae
Source: RNAcentral
ACAUACGACCACAGGGUGUGGAGAACAAGGCUUCCUGUCCGCUCAGCCGUACUUAAGCCACACGCCGGUAAGUUAGUAGUUAGUAGUUAGGUGGGUGACCACUAGCGAAUCCUUACUGUUGUAUGUU